Molecule: ribosomal RNA, 426 nt
Filed under: Myotis mystacinus (whiskered bat)
Lineage: Eukaryota; Metazoa; Chordata; Mammalia; Chiroptera; Vespertilionidae
Description: partial 12S ribosomal RNA
Rfam family: Bacterial small subunit ribosomal RNA
Source: RNAcentral
GGAUUAGAUACCCCACUAUGCUUAGCCCUAAACAUAAAAAAUUAUAAACAAAAUUAUUCGCCAGAGUACUACUAGCAAUAGCUUAAAACUCAAAGGACUUGGCGGUGCCUUACAUCCCUCUAGAGGAGCCUGUUCUAUAAUCGAUAAACCCCGAUCUACCUCACCAAUCUUUGCUAAAUCAGCCUAUAUACCGCCAUCUUCAGCAAACCCUAAAAAGGAAUUAAAGUAAGCACAAGUAUUAACAUAAAAACGUUAGGUCAAGGUGUAGCUUAUAGAGUGGAAAGAAAUGGGCUACAUUCCCCGACUCGGGGAACUAAAUUUUAUACGAAAACCUAUGUGAAAUCAAAAGUUAAAGGUGGAUUUAGCAGUAAAUUAAGAAUAGAGAGCUUAAUUGAAUAUGGCCAUAAGGCACGCACACACCGCCCG